AUGCUUCAGCCGUGGAGGCUGACCAUGCACUACCGGGGCCGGGGCUGGGGCCCUGUUCCCGGCCGCCCGGCCCGCCCCUGCAGCCAGCCCCGCCCGGAGGGGCGGACGCAGGACAAGGAUGCGCACGGUGCCGUGUCUCAGAGGCUGACCUACUGUUCCCGAGCACCACGUUUUGCCACCAGCGGCGAAGACAGGGAGACAGGCAGCUCGCAGCGGCUCGGGAGCAGAGGGAGCGCGUGGGGGCCUGGCCCCCGCCCAGCCGGAGCAGACCACAGACGCAGACUUAAAGUGCAACAGGCUGCGGCCCUCCACCCUCCCGAGGGUACCUUAGCGCCCAGCCCCCACGUGGAGCAGCCCGCAGCACUGCAGUGCUGGGCCAGCUCGCCCCGCUGGCCCCAGGGCCGCCCCCAUCCCUGCUCCCCAGGUGGCCCCCAGGGCUUGGGUGAAAGGACCCCAUUCUACACCACGCGUGAGCACCGGCAGCCCUCGUGUGCACACGCGCACACACCAGAAACGCACGCUUCCAAGUAGUGUUCCCAUAGCUACGUAGUGUCAGGCGCCCUCCCCCGCUCACACCGCCUGGGGAAGGGGCCCCCAGACCAGCGCCGCCCCCGCGGAGGGGCCGGAUUCUGAGGUCCGGGGUUUCUUCUUUUUUUUCCUCUUAGCGAUGGGCAGGGCUGCCCGUCUCUUCCAGUGUCCCGCCGUUCUGGGCGUCUCUUGGAGCCGGCGCGGUGGGCUGCGGGAGGGGUGGGAGGGCGCGCGCCGCCUCCGGCUCUCCUCCUGCAGGGCAGGGGCCCAGCAUGUACCUCGGGGUGGCGGGACCCCCGCCGCAGGGUUGUGCGCAGACGCGGAGGGUGGAGAGAGGGCAGGGUGGACGGGAAGUGUUCUCUUCAGGGAGGCCUCGGGUCAGGGCCAGCACCCCACCCCUCUCCGCAGAGGCGCAGGGUGCGCGGGGGAGGCCCUCACAGGGUCCAGGGUCCAGCGGCUGCGCUCACGGCCGCUGCCCAGCAGUCAGCCCCCAGGUCUGCAGCGCCGGGGCUGCGGGGGUCUUGGAGGGAGACGGGGUGGGGCCCACGCGGCCCCUGGCCCUGCCCCCAG
RNAcentral lists this long non-coding RNA (1098 nucleotides) under Oryctolagus cuniculus (rabbit). RNAcentral describes it as "lncRNA (ENSOCUG00000036597.1)". Lineage: Eukaryota; Metazoa; Chordata; Mammalia; Lagomorpha; Leporidae. The record is from RNAcentral.